AUUGAACGCUGGCGGCAUGCCUUACACAUGCAAGUCGAACGGCAGCACAGGGAGCUUGCUCCUGGGUGGCGAGUGGCGAACGGGUGAGUAAUGUAUCGGAACGUGCCCAGUAGUGGGGGAUAACUACUCGAAAGAGUGGCUAAUACCGCAUGAGAUCUCUGGAUGAAAGUGGGGGACCGCAAGGCCUCACGCUACUGGAGCGGCCGAUAUCAGAUUAGGUUGUUGGUGGGGUAAAGGCCUACCAAGCCUGCGAUCUGUAGCUGGUCUGAGAGGACGACCAGCCACACUGGACUGAGACACGG
This 302-nucleotide ribosomal RNA is filed under the name uncultured bacterium. RNAcentral's name for it is "bacterial SSU rRNA". It matches the Rfam family "Bacterial small subunit ribosomal RNA", at positions 30 to 329 of the family's 1533-position model. The record is from RNAcentral.